This 175-nucleotide non-coding RNA is filed under the name Gammaproteobacteria bacterium. RNAcentral describes it as "6S RNA". It matches the Rfam family "6S / SsrS RNA". From Rfam's summary of the family: E. coli 6S RNA was the first non coding RNA to be sequenced, but its function was unknown until recently. It consists of 184 nucleotides that fold into an extended hairpin structure with a large single-stranded internal bulge. The record is from RNAcentral. Lineage: Bacteria; Pseudomonadati; Pseudomonadota; Gammaproteobacteria. RNAcentral also lists the same sequence under 1 other name.
UGCUUCCUGGUCUAUUUGAUAGCUGAUGAGACCCUCGAGCCGUUAUUGAAUAAUCAGGAGAUUUUGGAAAGUCUUGUUGAGCAAGCCUUCUUGAGGAAGCCUGAUAGGCCAACAAAAUCACCGCCUUGAACUUCACGGUUCAGGGCUACAUCGGCAACGGUACUCCGGGAAGCUC